AUGUCGCUCGGUCCUCUCGGGGUUCGCUGCCCGCCGCCGUACCCCGCCGCCCUGCUCCGCUGUUGCCCCUCCCACCGCCUGCCUCGCCCCUGCUCUAGGGUUCGCCGCCCGCCGCCGGCCCCCGCCGCCCUGCUUCGCUGUUGCCCGUCCCUCCGCCUGCCUCGCCCCCCUCCCCUACACUCACCCCUGCCCGAUCUGGAUCUGGAUGAGGCGUUGCCUCCCGUUCCUCUCAUCGUGUCCCUUGUGCCUGCCAUGGAAGAAGGGAGGAAUAAGGGGAGGGAGAGCAAGGAGGAGGAGGAGGAGGAGGAGGAGGAGGAGGAGGAGGAGGAAGAAGAAGCUUCUCUGUAG
This 348-nucleotide ribosomal RNA is filed under the name Triticum aestivum (bread wheat). Its description in RNAcentral is "partial small subunit ribosomal RNA". Lineage: Eukaryota; Viridiplantae; Streptophyta; Magnoliopsida; Poales; Poaceae. The record is from RNAcentral.